AUGGUCUGGCUCUGUGUGGAAGACUAGUGAUUUUGUUGUUCUGACUUAUAAAAGUGACAACAAAUCAUAGCCUGCCAUACAGCACGGACCACAGCCA
MicroRNA precursor from Chrysemys picta bellii (western painted turtle), 97 nucleotides. The record is from Ensembl. NCBI's taxonomy places the organism in Eukaryota, Metazoa, Chordata, Testudines, Emydidae.